UCACAGAAGAAGGGGCUGUGGGGUGAGCAGGAAGGUUGCUCCUGGGCAGUGCUGGCCAGACCUGGGGUGGCCCCCGGCCCCGCUGGGCACCCAGGGCCCCUUCAAAGGUGCUAGGGUGGGGGUCGCGGAACCCGGGGGGCAGGACAGCAGCCUCUACUCUGCUGAAGUCUCAGCCAAGGUCCCUCUAAGGGGUCAAGAAAGGCAGCGCCUGCCAGCCAAGCGGACAUUUUCCUGCCUGCCCGGCAGCCACAUGCGCCUCGGCCGCGACAAAGGCCACACUUGAAGGAGGAGCUCAGGAGGUGGCCCCUGUCGCGCUGGGGGCCUCUGCACGGUCCUUCGGGAAGGACAGACCCUGGAGGGGGCACCGACUGCGCGCAGUCGUCCCGCGCCCUCUCGGUCCCCCAAGCGGCCCCCACGGGAGAACUCGAGGCGGGAGGCACACGGGCCGGGGACUCGCCCAGAUCCCCUUCCUAUCCUCUGCGCUGGCUAGGGACCCGCAGGAAGCUCCCCGACCUCGCACAAAGGCCGGGAUUCGCCUGUUUUGAAACCCAGAGGCCUGCCACUCGCAGCUGCCCAGAGGGCAAAUCCUGGCGUCCGAGAUGGAAGAUGUGACCUAAGCAUCCUUCCUCCGAGGAAAUGGGUGCGGCACCUUCGUGAACACGGGCAGGAAGGAGCCUGCCUCAGACGGGUGAGAUCGAGCCUGCCUUGCCCGAGACAAAAGGAGAUGACCCCGCGGCAGCAGGCGGCUUCUCCUAGCAUCACCCCGAGAAAUCACAAAGCGGGGGACAGAGCCUGACUCCCGGCGCCUGCAGCUGCCCCCGCCCCCGGAGCCUGCACGGGCACCUUCCCCUGGCAGGACCCCCUCCCUCUCUGUAGCAUGGGGAGCGCCCCAUCCCGUCAGAAUCGCUGGUGAGGACUGAACACAAGUAAUUAUCCAGGAGCUUUGCCCAGUGCUUGGGGCAGAAUGGGGCCCCCUAUUCGUGUCCUCACUGUUCUUGGCCUUCUUGCCUGGACGGGGAACCAACCUAGAGGAUGAGCCGGGGCUGGGAUGCGGGCAGCCACCCUCCAGCCGUCAGCACUGAUGUUCGUCUGCUGCCCCCUGGUGGGCGCGGAGGGCACUGUCGCCACCUGGCUGCCCCUUGGCGGGACGCUCGCUGCCCAGCGGCGGGAAGAUCAGGUUUGGCCUGGAGAAUAGCCAAGUCAGGAGACGCAGGCCUCACUGCUGUGUGUUAGCCAAUCACAACACCUUCCUGAUCCCCAGUGUCCUACUGGGGACACUGACCCACCUGUGUACCUCACAGGGUUUGGGGGAGGCUCCGCUGGGUGGCUGAGUGUGCGUGAAUGAAUGACUGCACGAACGGAACCUGAUAGGAACUCUCCUCCAAACACUGGGCGUGGGUGUCGUGAGCAGGUGUGGACUGUAUCAACUCAGAGUACACGUCAGGAAGAGGGGACGCCGCUGCAGGACAUCCUACCACCGGCCACCUCUUCUCAGACUCAGAGCGGUUUCCCGGGACCGCCCGUAGCACACCUCCAGGGGGCGCAAUUCCCAUCACAUUCUAGAGAGAUGGCACCCUGGAGAGGAGCCCACAGGCUACAAGUGAACGGUACCCUCUGGGGGUUGCCUCUCAGCUUGGCCCACCUUUAGCACCAUGAGGGAUGGCAGUUUUCCUUAGUGAGAAAGGCCCACACGAAGCACCGGGACAGUCCACAGGAGAGGCGGGAAGCUGGGUGUCCCAGUUCAGUGGCAUAGAUGAAACCCAUGGGGCAGGAAGUCACAUACCCCGAAGUAAGGGAGGAGGGUCACAGGCCCCCACUUACUGGGCCCCUCAGCCUCCCCCUGCGCCACCCUUGCCCCCCUUCAGUCUGUCCUCGGCAGCCAGCAAGGACCCAGUGAAACCUUGGUGAGGCCCUGCCACUCUCCUGCCCGGACGGGGGGGCCCUUCGUGGCAUCCCCCUCACCAGAGAGAAAAUCAAAUCUCAUCACUUGCAGGUCCCAUGUGGUGCAUUCCCUCCCCGGAUGACCUCAUUCCCACAGCUCCCCAGCCACGCCCAGCGGUGCCCCCACCUCAGGGCCUUUGCACCUGCCACCCCUCUGCCUGGGAUUCUUGCCCAGAUGGCCACAUGGCUCACACCCUCACUUCCUCUGCUGACCCUCUCGCACUCUGAGACUCAUUCUUCUCUGCAGUUUCCGCCACGGUGUCUGUUGCUCCGUCUCAUCCCUCUAGACUGUCAUCUCUGUGGCAGCGGGGGCCGUCUCUGUCCUGUCCCCAGUUCACUCCCAGCACUGCAAACUGGGCUCAGCCCCUGGUAGGUAGUCGAAAAAGAGUUGUUAAAUGAAACACCAAAUAAGGACCUCCCUGGCAGUCCAGUGGUUAGGACUCCGAGCUCUCACUGUGGGGGGCACGGGUUCAAACCCUGGUCCAGGAACUUAGAUCCCACGAACUGUGUGGCACGGCCAAAAGAAAAAAAACUGAAAUGCCAAAUAAAGAAACCAACAGGUCAGCAAAGCACUGCAGCUACGACUUUAAAAUCCAGUAUCUUCUUCCGUAGAAGUCACAGAAAUGGGUAAAACUGAUACAAAGGUUUAAAAAAUGGGCUAUGUAAUCUGUUGAUGUGUAGCAUAUCUCACCAUUGUUAUGUGAAUCUGUAACAUUACACCCUGUGAGAUUUGCACUGACUUAGCAUAUUAUUCUAAGUAUUCAUGACUGUAAUAGCCACUCCCGUUUCUUGAGUGCUGCGGGGCUGGCCUGAGGGCUUCGUAUGUGUCACGUGGCCUCCGUUAAGCCUCACAGUGAGGGUAAUAGUCAUUGUUUUGGGUGGUUAAACACAGAAACCGAGCACGCUGGGAGCUGCCCAGCAUCACCGAGCAAGGUGCAGAGGAGCCGGGUCCAAACGCCGGGCCUCCCCGGCAGCUGCUCAUGCACCCAAAUCUCGCUGUUGCAAAGGGUUUCCAUGCCUGGAACCGAAAGCUGUCGGUCGACACGCUGGUUUGGGGGGACAGGAGACCAAGGAGACGGGAAAAUGCUGUGCUGUCUAAAACACGGAGAUCCUGACUCAGCACGUAGAUCCUGAAUGCAACAGCCUUAAAAGGCCAGCACGCGCAUGCCCACUGCAGAAAUGGGUGCAAAAGCACAGUCAGGAGCGGCAGAGCUGGCCGGGAAGGGGCUGCUGGGGACACAGCCUGCGUCCGAGCUGAAGGGGGACAGGGUGUGGAAGUGCUGCCACCGGCCUCGAGCUCCUGGAAGCCCGGUGGCUGCAGGGUCCGGGCGGGCCCCAAAGGAGCCGCCCCACUUCUGCCUCACAGGGGAUGACCAUCCAGCUCCAGGCCAUGCGCGUCGUUAUUCUGUUGUUAGGGGACGGGUCACGGAGCUUGAGGACCGGCCCAAGGUUAGGCAUUGGGCAGAGGCAGGGUUGGAGCCCUGGUCUGAAUCCUAAGUCUGUCUCCUGCGAUGCCUCCCGCCGGGGACUUUGCUUCUGCUUCUGGCUGAUGGUACAGUGGUUCCAGGGCAGCAGCACGUGGGGGCGGGAGGCGGGGGGGAAUCUGAGUCCACAGCUGCCCCACAAGGCCUCCUGGGCUCCCACAGAGUCCCCUCAUCAGUAGGAGUCCUCGUUGCUGGGGCAACACUGGGAAUUUGCUCUGAACGAGAACACAUGUGCUUCUUCAUGUGUCGGGCGUGGUGCAGGCCACAGUGGACGGGCUGGAGAGCUUUCUCUGCCCAUCCAAACAUCCCAGGCCGUUCCUUUCCACACAGGCCUCCUCUGACAACCAGGGGGUUCCUCAGCCCAGGUUUCCCCCAGAAUGCCAAGGGCUGCUGCAAGGUCUCAGUGCUUCUUAACAACAGGGCCCUUAUUCCAUAGCCAGGGUCUCAGGGAUGCACUGGGAGCUUCUCCUGCAAAGGCCCUCCCCAGAAGCUGCAGUCCACCCAUCCCUCCCACAUCUCUCUAUCCAUCCCUCCUUUAUCUUUCCACCCACCCCUCCAUCCCUCCACCCAUCCAACCCACCCAUCCCUCCUACAUCCUCCACCCAGAACACAUUUACUAAGCACUGGCCUUGUUCUUGGAGCAGGGGAAGUGAAAGUUUUGACUCUUCCCAACAUGACCGGGUGAAGGAAUUAUUCUCAUGUCCAAACCACAUGAACACACACAUUUUGCAAAUUCCAUUUGUAGCUACAUCAUGCAAAUUCAGCUGUCA
This is a long non-coding RNA of Balaenoptera acutorostrata (minke whale), 4195 nucleotides long. RefSeq lists it as uncharacterized. The transcript has 3 exons. The record is from RefSeq and is a predicted model, not a curated record. Lineage: Eukaryota; Metazoa; Chordata; Mammalia; Artiodactyla; Balaenopteridae.